Molecule: ribosomal RNA, 404 nt
Filed under: Acidobacteriota bacterium
Lineage: Bacteria; Pseudomonadati; Acidobacteriota
Description: Acidobacteria bacterium partial 16S ribosomal RNA
Rfam family: Bacterial small subunit ribosomal RNA
Source: RNAcentral
UGGGGAAUCUUGCGCAAUGGGCGAAAGCCUGACGCAGCCAUGCCGCGUGAAUGAUGAAGGUCUUAGGAUUGUAAAAUUCUUUCACCGGGGACGAUAAUGACGGUACCCGGAGAAGAAGCCCCGGCUAACUUCGUGCCAGCAGCCGCGGUAAUACGAAGGGGGCUAGCGUUGCUCGGAAUUACUGGGCGUAAAGGGCGCGUAGGCGGAUCGUUAAGUCAGAGGUGAAAUCCCAGGGCUCAACCCUGGAACUGCCUUUGAUACUGGCGAUCUUGAGUAUGAGGGAGGUAUGUGGAACUCCGAGUGUGGAGGUGAAAUUCGUAGAUAUUCGGAAGAACACCAGUGGCGAAGGCGACAUACUGGCUCAUUACUGACGCUGAGGCGCGAAAGCGUGGGGAGCAAACAGG